Molecule: unclassified non-coding RNA, 69 nt
Filed under: Pseudomonas extremaustralis
Lineage: Bacteria; Pseudomonadati; Pseudomonadota; Gammaproteobacteria; Pseudomonadales; Pseudomonadaceae
Description: Pseudomonas sRNA P10
Source: RNAcentral
UGUCGUCGCUCUCCUGGCCCUGCUGAUCCACUGGAUCGGCAUCAACACGAUCGAACUGUACCGCGACGA